UACAGAGGGGGCAAGCGUUGUUCGGAAUUACUGGGCGUAAAGGGCGCGUAGGCGGCCGCCUAAGUCAGACGUGAAAUCCCUCGGCUCAACCGGGGAACUGCGUCUGAUACUGGGUGGCUUGAAUCCGGGAGAGGGACGCGGAAUUCCAGGUGUAGCGGUGAAAUGCGUAGAUAUCUGGAGGAACACCGGUGGCGAAGGCGGCAUCCUGGACCGGUAUUGACGCUGAGGCGCGAAAGCCAGGGGAGCAAACGGG
Molecule: ribosomal RNA, 253 nt
Filed under: uncultured bacterium
Lineage: Bacteria
Description: partial 16S ribosomal RNA
Rfam family: Bacterial small subunit ribosomal RNA
Source: RNAcentral